GUGCUUGCUUUGGCAGCACAUGUACUAAAAUUGGAACGAUACCGAGAAGACUAGCAUGGCCCCUGCGCAAGGAUGACACGCAAAUUCGUGAAGAUAACCUCGUCCCG
This 107-nucleotide small nuclear RNA is filed under the name Dasypus novemcinctus (nine-banded armadillo). The record is from RNAcentral. Lineage: Eukaryota; Metazoa; Chordata; Mammalia; Cingulata; Dasypodidae.